RNAcentral lists this small RNA (416 nucleotides) under Arabidopsis thaliana (thale cress). RNAcentral's name for it is "ATSL094090". Lineage: Eukaryota; Viridiplantae; Streptophyta; Magnoliopsida; Brassicales; Brassicaceae. The record is from RNAcentral.
CCAGGGCAAAUCACUCUAUCGCAACCUCGGAGAAGCAAGCAGCUCAGUUUCACUCAAUCGCGAAGCCGGAGGAAUCACCCCAUCAGAACCACUCGAUCACCACUCGAUCACCAGGAAGCCUAUCUGCUCAUUCUGCACUCAACCAGACAAGCUGAGAACAAAGAAGAGAAGAGAAGCCGAAGAAACCACUCGAUCACCACCUUAUGACAUCCACUCGAUCGCACUCGAUCACAGGGUCGCUGGACCAUUCAAUCUCGACUUCACUGCAUCUCACUCGAUCGCAAGACGGAGCCCCUGAAGCCCAGUUUGAUCAAUGACAAACUCGAUCACUAGGAAGCUCAUUUCUGCCGGUCAGAUGCCAAUGACAUAUUCGGUCGCAGGAUCAUGACGUGAAGAUUCGCUAUAUAUUUAGUUUC